Molecule: ribosomal RNA, 503 nt
Filed under: uncultured Glomus
Lineage: Eukaryota; Fungi; Glomeromycota; Glomeromycetes; Glomerales; Glomeraceae
Description: SSU rRNA
Rfam family: Eukaryotic small subunit ribosomal RNA
Source: RNAcentral
AGCAGCCGCGGUAAUUCCAGCUCCAAUAGCGUAUAUUAAAGUUGUUGCAGUUAAAAAGCUCGUAGUUGAAUUUCGGGAUUAGUACGUUGGUCGUGCCUUAGGUACGUACUGGUGUUACUGGUUCCUACCUUCUGACGAACCAUCAUGUCAUUAAUUUGGUGUGGCGGGGAAUCAGGACUGUUACUUUGAAAAAAUUAGAGUGUUUAAAGCAGGCUCGCGCUUGAAUACAUUAGCAUGGAAUAAUGAAAUAGGACGUUGACCCUAUUUUGUUGGUUUCUAGGAUUGACGUAAUGAUUAAUAGGGAUAGUUGGGGGCAUUAGUAUUCAAUUGUCAGAGGUGAAAUUCUUGGAUUUAUUGAAGACUAACUACUGCGAAAGCAUUUGCCAAGGAUGUUUUCAUUAAUCAAGAACGAAAGUUAGGGGAUCGAAGACGAUCAGAUACCGUCGUAGUCUUAACCAUAAACUAUGCCCGACUAGGGAUCGGAUGAUGUUAUUUUUAAUGAC